This 433-nucleotide ribosomal RNA is filed under the name uncultured bacterium. RNAcentral describes it as "bacterial SSU rRNA". It matches the Rfam family "Bacterial small subunit ribosomal RNA", at positions 29 to 486 of the family's 1533-position model. The record is from RNAcentral.
AGCGAACGCUAGCGACGGGCCUAACACAUGCAAGUCGAGCGGGGAGCAAUCCCAGCGGCGAACGGGUGAGUAACACGUGGGUAAUGUGCCUUCUGGUGGGGAAUAACCUUGGGAAACCAGGGCUAAUACCGCAUAUCGUGCUUCGGCAUGAAAGCCUUCGGGCGCCAGUAGAGCAGCCUGCGUCCCAUUAUUUAGUCCUAGUUGGUAGGGUAAUGGCCUACCAAGGGUACGAUGGGUAGCUGGUCUGAGAGGAUGAUCAGCCACACUGGAACUGAGACACGGUCCAGACUCCUACGGGAGGCAGCAGUGGGGAAUAUUGCGCAAUGGGGGAAACCCUGACGCAGCCACGCCGCGUGAGUGAUGAAGGCCUUCGGGUUGUAAGCUCUGUCGGGAGGGACGGAAGGGAGGCAAGUCUCUGACGGUACCUCGCAAG